Molecule: long non-coding RNA, 1238 nt
Organism: Oncorhynchus tshawytscha (Chinook salmon)
Lineage: Eukaryota; Metazoa; Chordata; Actinopteri; Salmoniformes; Salmonidae
Exons: 3
Source: RefSeq, a predicted model, not a curated record
UUCAGAUUGCCAAUUUGUGUGCCUGAACAGCCGAAAAAACUCCACAAAAAGUCAUCAUAAUAUAUGCAUGAACUCUUCCGAAUUGUUUUUGGCUUGUAAGAAUGGGAACGCCUUAAAUCGCUCUACAUACAAAACGAGGCAACAGUGAUACAAAAUGGGGCGGCGGUGUGCUUUAGGACCAUUCAGACGCCUCCGAGCAGUCCGAGAGUGCUCUCUCAAGAGCACCGUUGAUUUUCAAGGGCUGGUUCCACGCCUGGGGAUCACAGGAUACAAUUUCUUCCUGAAUGUAUUUAUCUCUGCAGCUGUGGAGCUGCUCACUGGUCUCAUCUUCAACUGCUGGUGGACAGGGUGGGAUGGAGACUCCUCAUGGCUGUCUCUAACUUCAUAUGAGUCGCCGCCUGCCUCAUAGUCCCCUUUGUUUCAGUAGACUGUGUGGCUGAUGAAAACCAUAGCGAUCAUUGGUCAGGCUGUUGCCAUUGGAAUUGAGACUGAACUUUGCCAACUCUAAGCUGUAUCCAACACCUCUCAGCAAAUAAUAAAAUGAAACUCAUUAAUGCUGCUUAAUUCUGUUUUCACAACCUGGAUUACAUACUGGUAGUAAUACAUGCAGUAACAUACAAUAAUAAGGUAUUAUACUACAUAUAUUGUGUAAACAUAUGAUAUGACGUAGUGUACUCUAUAUUGAGACUCAUAUUCAGUAACGUUUUUUUUUUUACACUGAGUAUACCAGACAUUAGGAACACCUUCCUAAUUUUGAGUUGCAUGAACACUAAAAGUUGUCGAAACUGCAUUCACCUGGUCAGUCUAUGUCAUGGAAAGAGCAGGUGUUCUUAAUGUUUUGUAUAUUCAGCUCAUAUUUCUGCAUUUCAGAACUGUCGGCUAAACUGCUUGAUAAUACUGUACCAUGUGUAUCUGUAGGUGUCAUGUCUGUGCUGUACAAUGGACUGACAAUUUGCCUGAGACCAUAGAAGACGUGGAGAACUUAAAUGGUUGUGUUAGUUUGUCUUGGUCGCUUAAUAUGCCCAUUCUGCAUUACCAGGAGAUACAAACAAAAAGGAAAAGACUUGAAAGGAAAAGACUCCAACAGAAAGGACUACAUCAUGUAAACUAUUUCAUAUAUUUGUGUAAAUUUCACACAGUAUUACACUAAUUUUUCUGUUACUCGGUGAGGCUUGGGAGGAAGAAAAGCAACAUGUAGAGUAGGAGGAAGAGAAUAACAAAAAAUAAACACUUGUCUU